ACGUUUCCCUCAUGGGUCCUCUUUCAUAAUCACCUACCAAAAAAACUUCACCUGAGGCCUCUCUCACGGAUUCCCAUUAUUAAAAAGAGAAAAGAAAGAAACAGGAAGAGGAAAUUAAAAAAACACUCCUCUUCUUAAAAAAAAACACAACACCUCUCUUCCUCAUGGGUCCUCUUUCAUAAUCACCUACCAAAAAACUUCACCUGAGGCCUCUCUCACGGAUUCCCAUUAUUAAAAAGAGAAAAGAAAGAAAC
Molecule: long non-coding RNA, 254 nt
Filed under: Lathyrus oleraceus (garden pea)
Lineage: Eukaryota; Viridiplantae; Streptophyta; Magnoliopsida; Fabales; Fabaceae
Description: Pisum sativum (pea) long non-coding RNA (PSAT_LNC033859)
Source: RNAcentral